CCCUCUCACAGCUUCCUAGGGCCCCCUCUCAUGGCUCUGUGCACCUGUGUCUGUCAUUGUCGUCCUCUCCCCUCCCCCCGCCCCGCUUGUCCAAUGUGUCCUGAUAUUUCACUCUUGCAAUCUGGUCACCCUACCUCCAUCAGGCAGUGGAGUAUCCCACUGGUGCCCAUCCAUGGGGUGCUGCUAAUCCCGUUAGCUCACCUCCCACCCUUCACCAGCCACCGAGGUAGCCCUAGUGUGACCAGAUGUCCCAAAUCCAAUAUUGGGGGCUGUGUGUUACAGACGCAACUAUACCCCCUCCCAUGAAAAAAAGGGUCCAGAAUUUUCACACUUGCUAUCUGGUGACUCCAGGUAGCCCCAGCCCCUGACCCCUGCUCCCCUAGUCACUGAGUAUCUCUGCUUCUGCCCUCAGUUGCACCCAGGACAUUUCACCCUGACUCAAGGGAGCCUGGUGUGAGGAAGUUUCCCAGCCCCCAAGGCAGCUGUGUCAUAUCCUUUCCUCAGCACCAGCUCAAGGAGUUGUGCGGUUGUUUUUAGGGCUUGUUCUCUUCAUAGCUCUGGAGAAAUUAAUUAUUGCUGCGGAAGAGGGGAAAAAACACUUGAAAAAGAGAAGUUGCAGCAGGAUCAGCUCCGGAUGCCUUCCAGUCUCUCUGUGAUGUGACACGUCCGUCUUUGACUCAGCCUGAAACUGCUGAGGCCAGCUUGGAAUUUCCUCCUGCGGGGUUAGCUCUAUAAAAAGAAAAGAUGCACCAAACAGCUGGAGAGGGCGAGAGAGAGGAGACAGCAGCACUUCAGCCUGAGAGCUUUGUUGCUUCCCGCCAGGGUAACACAAUGGUUCCUCGUAUUCCUUCUUAUCAAUGCCUGGACGAUCUUUUCUACCGUUUUGUUCCAUCAAUCACCAGGGGGUGCACUAGCCUAGUGAGUAUACAGCGCACUUCCAUCAAACACGAGAACUGUGCCAAAUGCACUGCGAUGAAAGGGGUGCUGGGGAGCACUCCUCUCAUGAGCUACCUCCUUCCCCACCACCGUGUUCACACUGUGAGAAGUGUGAUUUCCUUUGAUUGUUUGCACUGUUGGUGUCAUCGUGUUGGGCCCGGGAUAUUCAAGAGACAAGGUGGGUGAGGGAAUAUCUUUUACUGGACCAACUUCUCAACAGUUUGCCUCUUUCACCAACAGCAAUUGGUCCAGUGAAAGAUUAAAUUAGCUCACCUCCCUUCUCUCUGUUUCCUUUGAUGGCAGGACUGUAGAUCUGCCCUAUCUUUGCUAGGAUGUUAUUGAUUCUGAGUCAUUACCAUCCUGGGUUAUACUCAGCCCCCUCUGUGUAACACACACCCAGGGCAAUGAAUUCUGUGCGCCUACCACGGGAACGGUCUGACUUAGGAACUAGGAAUAAAGGAGAAGUGCAUCUCCGCA
RNAcentral lists this long non-coding RNA (1413 nucleotides) under Chrysemys picta bellii (western painted turtle). RNAcentral's name for it is "lncRNA (ENSCPBG00000028184.1)". The record is from RNAcentral. Lineage: Eukaryota; Metazoa; Chordata; Testudines; Emydidae.